Molecule: ribosomal RNA, 522 nt
Filed under: Sphingomonas sp. UC7211
Lineage: Bacteria; Pseudomonadati; Pseudomonadota; Alphaproteobacteria; Sphingomonadales; Sphingomonadaceae
Description: bacterial SSU rRNA
Rfam family: Bacterial small subunit ribosomal RNA
Source: RNAcentral
GGGAUGAGCCCGCGUAGGAUUAGCUAGUUGGUGUGGUAAAGGCGCACCAAGGCGACGAUCCUUAGCUGGUCUGAGAGGAUGAUCAGCCACACUGGGACUGAGACACGGCCCAGACUCCUACGGGAGGCAGCAGUGGGGAAUAUUGGACAAUGGGCGAAAGCCUGAUCCAGCAAUGCCGCGUGAGUGAUGAAGGCCUUAGGGUUGUAAAGCUCUUUUACCCGGGAUGAUAAUGACAGUACCGGGAGAAUAAGCUCCGGCUAACUCCGUGCCAGCAGCCGCGGUAAUACGGAGGGAGCUAGCGUUAUUCGGAAUUACUGGGCGUAAAGCGCACGUAGGCGGCUUUGUAAGUAAGAGGUGAAAGCCUGGUGCUCAACACCAGAACUGCCUUUUAGACUGCAUCGCUUGAAUCCAGGAGAGGUGAGUGGAAUUCCGAGUGUAGAGGUGAAAUUCGUAGAUAUUCGGAAGAACACCAGUGGCGAAGGCGGCUCACUGGACUGGUAUUGACGCUGAGGUGCGAAAGCG